GAGACAGAUGGGUGAGGAAGUGGUCUCAGUCGGGGGCCUAGAGUAACUGGUGUUGGGGCACUCACUUGUCGGGAGCCGUUAUGGGGGGUCCUGCCUGUGACAAGGUCAUGAAGAAAAUACCGGGCAGGCAAGGCCGUCCGGGACCCCAUCCAUGACGAGGUCACGAGGAAAAAACCUGACAGGCAAGGCCGUCUAGGAUAAGGGACCCUCCAGGGUGGCCUCGGCCUCUACCCUACCCUGUAUCCUCCUCCCUUUUUCUGCUGUUGUUCUUGUUUGCCCUGUUGCAGAUUCUUGUGUUGCCUGCCCAGAGCUCUCCUGCUCCUCUUUCACUGAAUGAGGACCAACUUAAAACUCUAAUUAAUAAAUCUUCUGGACGCUGGUACCCUAUGAAGGGGCCAGAGAUGAAGGAAAUGCUUCCAUUCAAACAUUUUGCUGGCAUUCUGGCUUGUUUGAUAAAUGUGUGAUCUCAUUGCACAAAAUGCUCUUGAUUGUUCUAAACAUCCUAAGCACAGUACGCUAACAAAAGAAACUAUUAAGCAUAGGCCCCUUCGCGGGGUGAGAAAAGCUCCACAAAUAUGAUAGCCACAAAUGUGCCUAAUAGAAAAUUCUUUACAUAGAGAUUAGCUGGCGACUUCUUACAGGUGGUUAACUUUUAGACUAAGAGCCUGUUUUGUGCCAUAUCUGCUGUUUCUGCAGUCCUUUGCAUUUCUGUUCUGUAAAAAUGUAAUCCUAUCUAGUUCCCAUAGAGAUGACGCUUAUUAGAAAGAAAAUAGAUUAAUUAUAAGAAAAACAGGGUCGGCUACUGAAGUUGCUUAAGUCCCACCAGGUGCAAGCCAUAAAAUGUCAGCAGGCCUGAAGGCCAAAUGAUAAGACUCUUGUGAACGAAAAAGUAUGUGGGUGACAUCCUGUUUCUGUUGAAGGUCAAGUUGCUGUAAUGUUUUGAGAUGCCCUGUGUGUAAGCAACAUGCACUUCCCCCAAAGAUGUCGUUAAGGGUAUAAAGGGGCCGUGCAAAAAUAAAUUUCAGACUCAGCCCCGAGCUUUGUCUCUCUCUCUCUCUCAUUCGCCGACGCCGUUCAUCCUGAGGGUUCCCCUGGAUCCUGCUGGGGCUGGACCCCGGCGAGUGGUGCCCGAACAGGGACCCAAAGAGAAACUAAAGAAGUUUGGGACUGCUAAUGAAUAAAAGUAAGCUGAUGCAAAAACUCGAAUUUGACUUUUCUCUCUGUUAAAAGAACACACUUUUUUCAGAUGUUGAACUGCAUUUGACAAUAGAUUUAAGUUUAUUUACCUCUUAAAUGGUCUGUUCUAUAUUUGCCUCUAAAAUCCUAUAUUGUUACUUUGGCUGAGUAAAUAGCUGUUGUUUCACAGUGACCUGUAGUCCCAUCUGACUGAAUGCUCUAAACCUUUCUGUUAUUUGUUGACAAAACUUCCUAAAUUAUUCUGAUGAAGCGCUUUUAGCUUCUAGUUAACUUUGGGAUGCUUCAGAGGGCCCCUGAAACAUCCCAGGGAAAGAUAUUAAUAUAAGUUUAUUUCGUUGGUUAAAUUACAUAAAAAAGAUUAUCAAAUGAGUAAUAAAUCUGCUCAUGUUAUAAUAUAUGGUAAAAUUACUAAUACAGAUAUCCUAAAAAUUAUAUAGAGUUCUUAACAUUUUAAUAUGUCUUAAUAUUCUAAUGAAAACCCUGAUGACUUCACAAAAGUUAACAAAGGACUGAAUGAACCAGCGAAUAUGCUUAUAACUUUUAUGGUUUCUAUCUAAAAAAUUACAGGUUUGAAUCUUAUGUUUUCCAGGAGUAGGAAAAACCUUCCUCUCAAACUAAUUAUAGAAAAAAUUUGGUCUCUCAACAGGGAACGCCUCGGAGUCCUGAAUACAUUUUCCUGCUAGCCUGUGUCUCCCAAACUUAACUGAGCUUACUUAUCCAACCCCCCCACCUUUAUUACAGGUCAUAAAAUAGACGGAGAAAAGAUAGAUCAAAUCAACCAAUGACUCCGCACAUAUGCCCCCUCCCUGUAACCCUCACACCCUGGGGAGAAGAAAAAACUAAUUAACAUUUCUUUAGGCUAUGAAGUCUUUCCAUUGCCUGGGCCCAGAAAAAUUAUGCAUAAACAUCGGCCGACAAAUUUGGGCUUUCAUCCUACCUCCAAAAGAAGGCUUUCGGACAUUGUGGCCCUUUCUUUGUCUGUGAACCAUGUUUAUACUACUAAAACUUUAGGGAAAGAGUUAGGGAAAGAACAAAAAACAUUAUAUAUCAUGCUGCUUAAGUGGCUUAAAAGGUUUACUAAGACUAUAUUGAAACAUUACCAUGACAAAGGACUUCUUGGCUGGCUUGACAGUGGAAGGACACUCUCUUCCUCCUACUCCUAGAAUCGUCCUCAAUAAACAAAUUGGGCCUGAAUUAUGAGACAUAUAUAAAACAUAAAAACUUGCUGCCAACACCAGAAAACUUGAAGCUCGGACCGGACAUUUCACGGGGACCAGUCGUGAUCAUUGUAACUAUUUCUUUCGCUAUAAUCAGUCAUAUUUUAUACAAGCCUGUGUCCCACUUACAAUUUAAUCAGUAACUUGUAUUAAUUGCCAAUUUUGUGUUACUCCUGUUCAAUUCAAUCAUAGUACCUACAAGUGAGAACAAAUCAAAUUUCAUUUACAUGAUAAUGCCUCUCUAAAUGUACUAUUACUGCAAAAGAAAAUCUUUAAAACUUUUUCUAAACAUCUGCCCUCUUCCACUAAUUUGAAAACUUUAGCUGAACAAAUUAUCCGGGCUAAACCCACAAAGAUGGUUUUAAAGUAUUACCUACAACAUCGGGUCUAAAGCUGUAACUUUAGUGAUUGUCUUGAUAAUUGUAUUUGUUGUUUAUCGUCGCCUUUCUAUAAGGUUGGUUAAUACUGGCCAAACUCGUUUGGUCAAGACCUUUUUUGCAGAUGUGAUAAAAUAGGAGGAAUUGUCAAAAAGCAUUUAACAGGAGGCUUCCCGUUUGCUGUUAUGGAUCUGUCAGGAAACCUCUGGCCCUUAUUAAUUCCUAAAUAUUCAAGAAUUGAGGGGAGAGGCACGCCUUUCCCUGGGCUGAAAAAUCCAGACAUUUCCUUCGUUAGUUUCUCAUUAUGGUGAUAAGUACCCUCUUCUCUCUUUAAUAGAGAUCGCCUUGUGUUCUGUAAGCCUAAAAUUUUAAUAUUUAUCUUUGCUGAAAAUAACUACAGUAUAUAUGCCCACGCCAUGUUGAUUAAAACACCUUUGCUCCAUCAGAGCUUUGGUCCCUGUGAAAUAGCUCCAGCAUAAGUUUAGAUUUAGAUAGACCGCAUGGACAGAUUAGAACAAUCGAGCAUUCUUGGCUGGAUUUUACUGCCGCUGGAGCUGCCAGUGAUUUCUUUAAAACUCUCUCUAACUUUAUCUCUGCCAAAAAUAUCUUAUCUACUGUUCUCAGUUACACCACUCUAAUAGCGCUGAUUCUUAUUAUUAUUGUUAUUCUCCCUUGUAUCGUCAGAACUCUUCAGCAGAACACUCAGAAUCUUGCAACUGAGAUCCAUCUGGCUGCUUUAAAAAAUAAAAAAGGGGGAGAUGUCGGGAGCCGUUAUGGGACGUCCCGCCCGUGACGAGGUCAUGAAGAAAAUGCAGGCAAGGCCGUCCGGGACCCCAUCCAUGACGAGGUCACGAGGAAAAAACCUGACAGGCAAGGCCGUCUAGGAUAAGGGACCCUCCAGGGUGGCCUCGGCCUCUGCCCUACCCUGUAUCCUCCUCCCUUUUUCUGCUGCUGUUCUUGUUUGCCCUGUUGCAGAUUCUUGUGUUGCCUGCCCAGAGCUCUCCUGCUCCUCUUUCACUGAAUGAGGACCAACUUAAAACUCUAAUUAAUAAAUCUUCUGGACGCUGGUACCCUAUGAAGGGGCCAGAGAUGAAGGAAAUGCUUCCAUUCAAACAUUUUGCUGGCAUUCUGGCUUGUUUGAUAAAUGUGUGAUCUCAUUGCACAAAAUGCUCUUGAUUGUUCUAAACAUCCUAAGCGCCGUACGCUAACAAAAGAAACUGUUAAGCAUAGGCCCCUUCGCGGGGUGAGAAAAGCUCCACAAAUAUGAUAGCCACAAAUGUGCCUAAUAGAAAAUUCUUUAGAUAGAGAUUAGCUGGCGACUUCUUGCAGGUGGUUAACUUUUAGACUAAGAGCCUGUUUUGUGCCAUAUCUGCUGUUUCUGCAGUCCUUUGCAUUUCUGUUCUGUAAAAAUGUAAUCCUAUCUAGUUCCCAUAGAGAUGACGCUUAUUAGAAAGAAAAUAGAUUAAUUAUAAGAAAAACAGGGUCGGCUACUGAAGUUGCUUAAGUCCCACCAGGUGCAAGCCAUAAAAUGUCAGCAGGCCUGAAGGCCAAAUGAUAAGAAAGACUCUUGUGAACGAAAAAGUAUGUGGGUGACAUCCAGUUUCUGUUGAAGGUCAAGUUGCUGUACUGUUUUGAGAUGUCCUGUGUGUAAGCAAUAUGCACUUCCCCCAAAGAUGUCGUUAAGGGUAUAAAGGGGCCGUGCAAAAAUAAACUUCAGACUUAGCCCCCGA
This is a long non-coding RNA of Dama dama (fallow deer), 4521 nucleotides long. RefSeq lists it as uncharacterized. NCBI's taxonomy places the organism in Eukaryota, Metazoa, Chordata, Mammalia, Artiodactyla, Cervidae. The transcript has 2 exons. The record is from RefSeq and is a predicted model, not a curated record.